GACGAACGCUGGCGGCGUGCUUAACACAUGCAAGUCGAACGGAAAGGCCCUGCUUUUGUGGGGUGCUCGAGUGGCGAACGGGUGAGUAACACGUGAGUAACCUGCCCUUGACUUUGGGAUAACUUCAGGAAACUGGGGCUAAUACCGGAUAGGAGCUCCUGCUGCAUGGUGGGGGUUGGAAAGUUUCGGCGGUUGGGGAUGGACUCGCGGCUUAUCAGCUUGUUGGUGGGGUAGUGGCUUACCAAGGCUUUGACGGGUAGCCGGCCUGAGAGGGUGACCGGCCACAUUGGGACUGAGAUACGGCCCAGACUCCUACGGGAGGCAGCAGUGGGGAAUAUUGCACAAUGGGCGGAAGCCUGAUGCAGCAACGCCGCGUGCGGGAGGACGGCCUUCGGGUUGUAAACCGCUUUCGCCUGUGGCGAAGCGUGAGUGACGGUAAUGGGUAAAGAAGCACCGGCUAACUACGU
Molecule: ribosomal RNA, 467 nt
Filed under: uncultured bacterium
Lineage: Bacteria
Description: partial 16S ribosomal RNA
Rfam family: Bacterial small subunit ribosomal RNA
Source: RNAcentral